GAUGAAGAACUUAGUGAAAUGCGAUAAGUAAUGUGAAUUGCAGAAUUCAGUGAAUCAUCGAAUCUUUGAACGCACAUUGCGCCCGCCAGUAUUCUGGCGGGCAUGCCUGUUCGAGCGUCAUUUCAACCAUCAAGCCCCAGGCUUGUGUUGGGGACCUGCGGCUGCCGCAGGCCCUGAAAACCAGUGGCGGGCUCGCUGUCACACCGGGCGUAGUAGAUUUUAUCUCGCUCAGGGCGUGCUGCGGGUUCCGGCCGUUAAAAAGCCUUUUUUACCCAAGGUUGACCUCGGAUCAGGUAGGAAGACCCGCUGAACUUAAGCAUAUCAAUAAGCGGAGGA
This 336-nucleotide unclassified non-coding RNA is filed under the name soil metagenome. Its description in RNAcentral is "partial contains 5.8S ribosomal RNA, internal transcribed spacer 2, and large subunit ribosomal RNA". The stretch from base 1 to 120 matches the Rfam family "5.8S ribosomal RNA", at positions 35 to 154 of the family's 154-position model. The record is from RNAcentral.